RNAcentral lists this ribosomal RNA (459 nucleotides) under uncultured bacterium. Its description in RNAcentral is "partial 16S ribosomal RNA". It matches the Rfam family "Bacterial small subunit ribosomal RNA", at positions 338 to 795 of the family's 1533-position model. The record is from RNAcentral.
CCUACGGGUGGCAGCAGUGAGGAAUAUUGGUCAAUGGGCGAGAGCCUGAACCAGCCAAGUAGCGUGAGGGAUGACUGCCCUAUGGGUUGUAAACCUCUUUUGUCGGGGAGUAAAGUGCCGCACGUGUGCGGUUUGGCGAGUACCCUGAGAAAAAGCAUCGGCUAACUCCGUGCCAGCAGCCGCGGUAAUACGGAGGAUGCGAGCGUUAUCCGGAUUUAUUGGGUUUAAGGGGGGCGUAGGGGGUUGUUUAAGUCAGUGGUAAAAUUGGCGGGCUCAACCGAGUAGAGCAGUUGAAACUGGGAGUCUUGAGUACACGAGAAGUAGGCGGAAUGCGUGGUGUAGCGGUGAAAUGCAUAGAUAUCACGAAGAACCCCGAUUGCGAAGGCAGCUUACUAACGUGCAACUGACAUUGAUGCACGAAGGUGUGGGUAUCGAACAGGAUUAGAUACCCGAGUAGUC